GAUCAUGGCUCAGGAUGAACGCUGGCGGCGUGCCUAACACAUGCAAGUCGAACGAAGCAUACGGACCGGAGAUUCGUCGAAGGACCGUAUGACUUAGUGGCGGACGGGUGAGUAAUGUAUGAGCAACCUGCCUUUCAGAGGGGGACAACAGUUGGAAACGACUGCUAAUACCGCGUAACGUAUCGUGGGGGCAUCCUCAUGAUACCAAAGGAGCAAUCCGCUGAAAGAUGGGCUCAUAUCUGAUUAGCUUGUUGGCGGGGUAACGGCCCACCAAGGCGACGAUCAGUAGCCGGACUGAGAGGUUGAACGGCCACAUUGGGACUGAGAUACGGCCCAGACUCCUACGGGAGGCAGCAGUGGGAAUAUUGGGCAAUGGGCGAAAGCCUGACCCAGCCAACGCCGCGUGAAGGAAGAAGGUCUUCGGAUUGUAAACUUCUUUUAUGAGGGACGAAGGACGUGACGGCACCUCAUGAAUAAGCCACGGCUAACUACGUGCCAGCAGCUGC
This 506-nucleotide ribosomal RNA is filed under the name uncultured bacterium. Its description in RNAcentral is "bacterial SSU rRNA". It matches the Rfam family "Bacterial small subunit ribosomal RNA", at positions 15 to 518 of the family's 1533-position model. The record is from RNAcentral.